Molecule: non-coding RNA, 69 nt
Filed under: Chloropicon laureae
Lineage: Eukaryota; Viridiplantae; Chlorophyta; Chloropicophyceae; Chloropicales; Chloropicaceae
Source: RNAcentral
UGUUUGAGAGCGCGAAGCGCGACAGAGAGAGCAAGGAUGAGCGGGGCCAAGGACGGUUGGACGCGGGAA